GGAAGACAUAGAGAACCUCGGGUGAGCUUUUAAAUAGGAGAGCCACGCAAACACAAACAGCAGCAAUGGCCACCAUCGAAAGCAUUGCAGGUCUGUAAACCAGAGACGCGCUAGACGGUGUUCCACAACCCAGCGGUUUCCUGACACAAAGCUUGCAAUGCUGCUGACUAGGUUUUAGUUCCAUCCUACCAAUCUCAAACCUGGAGGAGGCCAAAUCGGUGUUUGGCUUUUGAUUCCAGCUACUAUCCGAGAGAGAACUAGGAAUAUCCAGCACUACAUGCCCAGCUGCAGAUCUCUUGUUGAUUUU
Molecule: unclassified non-coding RNA, 307 nt
Filed under: Hevea brasiliensis (rubber tree)
Lineage: Eukaryota; Viridiplantae; Streptophyta; Magnoliopsida; Malpighiales; Euphorbiaceae
Source: RNAcentral